Molecule: microRNA precursor, 103 nt
Filed under: Marmota monax (woodchuck)
Lineage: Eukaryota; Metazoa; Chordata; Mammalia; Rodentia; Sciuridae
Source: RNAcentral
AGUGGGAUAGCUGGGUCAAAUGAUGGUUGCAUUCCAAGUUUUCUGAGGAAUCUCCAUAUUGCUUUCCAGAGUGGUGGCACCAGUUUUCAGUCCCACCAGCAAU